RNAcentral lists this ribosomal RNA (843 nucleotides) under uncultured bacterium. Its description in RNAcentral is "bacterial SSU rRNA". It matches the Rfam family "Bacterial small subunit ribosomal RNA", at positions 42 to 916 of the family's 1533-position model. The record is from RNAcentral.
GCGUGCAUAACACAUGCAAGUCGAACGCGAAAGGAUCCUUCGGGAUUUGGACGAGUGGCGAACGGGUGAGGAACACGUAAGAAUCUACCUUUCGGUUGGGGAUAACUUCUGGAAACGGGAGCUAAUACCCAAUAUGCUGUGGAGUGAAAGAAUUUCGCCGAGAGACGAUCUUGCGUCUGAUUAGCUUGUUGGGGUGGUAAUGGCACACCAAGGCGACGAUCAGUAGCUGGUCUGAGAGGAUGGACAGCCACAUUGGGACUGAGACACGGCCCAGACUCCUACGGGAGGCAGCAGUGGGGAAUUUUCCGCAAUGGACGAAAGUCUGACGGAGCGACGCUGCGUGAAGGAUGAAGGCCCGUGGGUUGUAAACUUCUUUUCUCGAAGAAGAAAAAAAUGACGGUAUUCGAGGAAUAAGCAUCGGCUAACUCUGUGCCAGCAGCCGCGGUAAGACAGAGGAUGCAAGUGUUAUUCGGAAUGAUUGGGCGUAAAGAGUCUGUAGGCGGUUUAGAAAGUCUUUUGUGAAAUACUUCAGCUCAACUGAGGCUCCGCAAAAGAAACUUCUAGACUUGAGGAAAGUAGAGGUACAGGGAAUUUCCGGUGGAGCGGUGAAAUGCGUAGAUAUCGGAAGGAACACCAAUAUGGCGAAGGCACUGUACUGGGCUUUUCCUGACGCUCAGAGACGAAAGCUGAAGGAGUGAUUAGGAUUAGAUACCCUAGUAAUUUCAGCCGUAAACGAUGAAAACUCACUGUCGAGCCAAUAUAUGGAGCGGUGGUCAAGCUAACGCGUGAAGUUUUCCGCCUGGGGAUUACGCUUGCAAAAGUGAAACUCAAAGGAAUUGACGG